Molecule: ribosomal RNA, 119 nt
Filed under: Lepisosteus oculatus (spotted gar)
Lineage: Eukaryota; Metazoa; Chordata; Actinopteri; Semionotiformes; Lepisosteidae
Source: RNAcentral
GCCAUCAGCUGUAUCACCCUGCAACUCUCCAAUAGCAGCCCAUUGAAGCUGAGCAGGUGUGAGCCCGGUCAGUACCUGGAUGGGAGACCUCCUGGGAAAAACUAAGGCUGCUGCUGGAA